RNAcentral lists this long non-coding RNA (199 nucleotides) under Phoenix dactylifera (date palm). RNAcentral describes it as "long non-coding RNA (PDAC_LNC009889)". Lineage: Eukaryota; Viridiplantae; Streptophyta; Magnoliopsida; Arecales; Arecaceae. The record is from RNAcentral.
AUAAUUCUUUUGAAGCUCAAAUUUCUUUCAAAAGUAAUUACAUUUUCUUUCCUAUAAGAAUUAUUGGAGUGAGUUGAAAUACUUUAAGCUUUAGAAUCAUUAACUCUAUUCUUAAAAAUAGCUUUUCCUUUUAAUGAUAGAAGUAUUUAAUUAUGCAGGAGUGUAUAUUCAAAAUAUUAAUUUCUUAGUCAUAGUUUUU